GCUGAUGCCCUGCUGAAAUAAGACCUUCACUGUAAUCCCAUCUCCAGUCUAACAUGCUGUUACCAGUUGUUCCAUAUCUUGCUUUUUCCACUCAAAGAAACCAUAUUUUAUGGCCCCCACCACCAACAGUCUCUGAGGCUGCUUUCUAUGCAUGCAGUGAAGAAAGCUCAUCCUCCUGCUAGAUUUCUGUCUCUGUUGCAGUUUAACUGCAGCGUUCUCCCCCUCCCUGCCAUGACUUUGUCUAUUUUCCUCAAGACUUUAGGCUGCAAAACACACCGCUCGCUCUCCAAGUCUUUGUUUUGCUCAGCGUGAGGGCACUGGGGCUCAUGCAGCAGACUCCCGUGGGGAUUUAUGUUUAUACCUGUGACUAACGCAGCCACUUCUUGCCGACUAGUUUUGCUCCAGACUUCUCUAACUGACUGUUCAAAAGCUCUGUGCAAGUACCACAGGCACCUGUACAGCCCCYUCCUCUGCCUGGCUUCACGGUACAAGUUAGGGAACCCAUUAGCACUUGCAUUUUAAACUUAGUUAACUGCUGCUAGGCUCCACCAAAGUUAAGUAUUCCCUGUAAUACUGAGUUGAGCUACAGAAUAUAAAGGAGCACUUUAAUUUGCUAUCAUUUGAGAGCUUUAAAUUGAAAGUAUCUACUAGGUUAAAGCUGUACUUUGAGAUAAAGAAGAUAAAAUAAACUGAAUAAAUAAAACAGGAACGCUUSCUUGUUCUCUUUUGCAACAAAACUCUUCUUACCUUAGUCUCAGUCCUCAGGGUCUCUGUACUUUGGGAAAAAUCUCAUGUGUAUCAGCUGCUGCUAUUAUAGGUUAUUACUGGCACACACAUGUAAAAUAUUUACAUGAUGAUAAUACCCUACAGGCAGGCUUCACCUCCACGCAAAGAGAAUCAAAAAGACACGAAAAGUUGAUAACCAAGAAAGAUGUACCAAGCUCGGGAAGGAAACUGAACCUCGCGACAAGAGAAAAAGGAAGCGCUGGAACGGGCAGGUCGGAGGCAGCUGGAGAGGGGAGGCAGCCUGCAGAAAACACGGCAAAACCUGACGAUGGCAGAGUCUUAAAUCUCCUUAUAGAUGGAAGUGAAGUGACCAAAGUGCAAAAGAGAAAGCAACCUGGAAAAAAGGGAAAGCAAUUGUGGAAAGACUGCUGGCCAAAUGAUAAAGUAAGAUUUUUUGCUUAUUCACCAAAAAAACCCUAUAUUUUCCUUAAGUUGUUAAUUACCAUACAAACAUCACCAGAUAUAAAACACAUAAAAAUGCUUUACAGUCAAGAUGGGCAAAAACAUACUACAUACAGCAUUUUUCUUAUAAGAAAUACACUGAAGGCAUUAUUUAUUAACUUGUUAGCAUAUACUGGAGAACCAAUUCUAUGGCUAUUUUAUAAAAGCAGAAUGAAAAGUGAAAAACUGUGUGUACGCAGGAUAUAGUGAACUUGGUCUGAUUUUUCUCUCUUCUACCCCUGACAGUUAUUUUAAUGAUAAAUUCCCAAAUCACAUGCUUCAGUUUUAGAUUUUAAAGUGUUUUUGAGCACUUUUUGAGCUGCUCACUGCACUCUUCAGAUCAAAAGAAACACACAGGACAAAGAAUAAAAUUGAGUAUUAGAGUAAGACA
Long non-coding RNA from Apteryx owenii (little spotted kiwi), 1618 nucleotides. The record is from Ensembl. NCBI's taxonomy places the organism in Eukaryota, Metazoa, Chordata, Aves, Apterygiformes, Apterygidae.